Molecule: non-coding RNA, 1350 nt
Organism: Parasteatoda tepidariorum (common house spider)
Lineage: Eukaryota; Metazoa; Arthropoda; Arachnida; Araneae; Theridiidae
Source: RefSeq, a predicted model, not a curated record
UUAACUUCUCAAACUGCUUGUAUAUUUUAUAUCUAUAAUUGUAUUUUUUUCAUUCUGAAAAUCCUAAGAUUUUUCACAGUUAAUGAUUAAGUCUAAAUGGACAAUGUAAAGCAAACCAGUCAUAUUUCUUCUGUCUCUUCAUAAAAUACUAACUAAUAAAAUACUUUGCUAUUCUUUUUACCAGGUGAUUCAAUUAUUUAGCUAAUUACUUAAAUGUUGAGCGAAAGAGGGAUAUUGAGGUCGUUUUCACGCCUUGGAAUCAAUGUGGACAAAUUUAGGUUGCAGUUGUGAAGAGCGAUUAUGAUUUUGCCUUAAUUCAUGAUGAUGUAAGUAACCUGCCUAAAUUGGAGAUCUGCAAAAAGAAUUGAAAAGAAGUAUUUGAGCAACAAACCUAACAUUGCAAUAAUCCUUUUUUAUGUCUUGAUUUUUAAGUGACAGAUGUUUCAAAUCCCCAAGUAUGAGUAUACUUCCGACCAAAAGAGUUGUGAGACCCCUCUGAAAGCCUGCCAUAUGCAUGGAAAAGGUGGAUAUACAAGGUUUUUCCUCGUUAAUGUGUGCUUAUAGCACUUUUCUGGUAAUUAAAAAUGUUCUCUUAAAAUGUAUACUUCUGUUCUAAAUGUCACUCUUUCAAUCUGUAAUUCAAGUUGAUUUGAACUAGUGUAUGCAGUCCUUUAUUAGAUUCACAAUUUGAAGAGUUGUACUUUUAUCUAUGUGCUUAACCAUUGGUUGAAAUCUUAACCAGGUAUCUUGAUUGCAAUAUUAAUUCGAAGCAGCUUGUUCUCUUCUAGCUUUUGACUGGAUUCAACUUAUGAUUCAUAUUUGUCCCGGGGAAUGGUCUCACAGCAUUGUCUGCUUAAAGCUUUUCUGUGAGAUAUAUUUACCAGGACUUGUUUUGACAAUGAUGUAUACAGAUUCUCAUUUAGUUUGAAGAAAAUCUCUGUGCCGUAACAAGAUAACACUUCAGUCAUUGAUUUUGCAAUAUGUAUUAAAUAUAAUUGUAUAUUUUUAAAUUCAUAAAAAUAAUUAAGCUCUUUAUUUUCUGGCACGAUUGUAAGCUAUUAAUAUAAUUGAAGUCUUCUAUUGGAAUCUGAUCCACUGCAGAAUUUUAAGGUAACAUGAUUUCUAUUUUUCUAUCUAGAAAAAUGUAGUCACAUCUGCACCUGCAAGCAUCUUCAUAGAGUCAUCUGGCUACCAUACUCUUUGUCUAUAUAUUGUGUAAGAACAAAAAGAGAUAUACAUGCUUCAAAUUCUCUGAUCCAAUUUGAUAAAUUUUUUUUUUCUUACUAUUUCAUACUUUUUACAUAUGCUGUACUCAUACCACUAAAAAAGAAUAAAUAAAUCUAUUCAAAA